RNAcentral lists this ribosomal RNA (253 nucleotides) under uncultured bacterium. RNAcentral's name for it is "partial 16S ribosomal RNA". It matches the Rfam family "Bacterial small subunit ribosomal RNA", at positions 524 to 776 of the family's 1533-position model. The record is from RNAcentral.
GACAGGGGGUGCGAACGUUGCUCGGAAUUACUGGGCGUAAAGGGCUCGUAGGCGGCCAACUAAGUCAGACGUGAAAUCCCUCGGCUUAACCGGGGAACUGCGUCUGAUACUGGAUGGCUAGAGAUUGGGAGAGGGAUGCGGAAUUCCAGGUGUAGCGGUGAAAUGCGUAGAUAUCUGGAGGAACACCGGUGGCGAAGGCGGCAUCCUGGACCAACACUGACGCUGAGGAGCGAAAGCCAGGGGAGCAAACGGG